CACAAAGUGCCAGAUAUAAUCUUCUCGUAUAUGCUCACGCAACUCUGUUUUCCAUCAGAUAUACAGUACACCUAUGCCAGCCAUCGCAUAUGUGUUUUCUCCAGCAUGUUGCCACACCAGUGAGUAAAAAAUUCACAGAUACAAAGCCUUUUUAUUAAGAGUUAUCCAUAUGUGGUAAUAUGGAACUGCUACUUUUCUGCUACACUCAUACUUAGCCAUAGCUCAUUUCUCAUUGUGUAUUCUACGUGGACUCUCUUUCAGUGCCUUUUGGGUCUCAUAAAGGUCCUGAGUUUGGAAAAAGUCAAAUUCCAUCAUAUUUACUUAAAACUGCCAUUGACUGAGUAAGAACUACAGGAUGGGUGCAAGAUCAGCACUAUAGAAGUAUCCCUGAGGUAAUCUUGGCCAUAUUGGACACUCACUUAAACACCUGGAAAAUCCCCAUAUAGAUGAUAAGAUUCUGAUCAUCCCUUCCCUCUCGUUGGCCAGAAAGUUCUUGAUCAUUCAUUGGAGCUGAUGUAUCCUGCUCUCACUGUGGUGUAGAAAGCAGUCUAUUACAGUGCUGGAUUAAUCAAAGAGGCCUUUAUGGUUCGUGAAAGAAUAUCUAUGUGCUUAGACAGGAAACUUUUUGAUCCACUGAAAAGCCAGACGACAUCUAGGACCAGACAGGACAAUUUUAGACUCACACUUAUUGUGAUAUCCUCAGUGGUAAGUACCUUAACUGCAAUCAAGUUUACUGCAUUUUUUUUGUUGAGGAAAGGCCUCUUUUAAGAUCACAGUUGCUGCAGCUUAAUCACAUACCUUUGUAUGUAGUUCUUGAAUAAUAGGAUAGUAAUGUGAUAUACUGUAUAAUGCAAAUCAGAGCAAAGCACAAGUGGUUGCUAGCAUUUGUG
Molecule: long non-coding RNA, 890 nt
Filed under: Gopherus agassizii (Agassiz's desert tortoise)
Lineage: Eukaryota; Metazoa; Chordata; Testudines; Testudinidae
Description: lncRNA (ENSGAGG00000016093.1)
Source: RNAcentral